Molecule: ribosomal RNA, 468 nt
Filed under: uncultured bacterium
Lineage: Bacteria
Description: partial 16S ribosomal RNA
Rfam family: Bacterial small subunit ribosomal RNA
Source: RNAcentral
GACGAACGCUGGCGGCGUGCUUAACACAUGCAAGUCGAACGGAAAGACCCUGCUUUUGUGGGGUGCUCGAGUGGCGAACGGGUGAGUAACACGUGAGUAACCUGCCCUUGACUUUGGGAUAACUUCAGGAAACUGGGGCUAAUACCGGAUAGGAUCUCCUGCUGCAUGGUGGGGGUUGGAAAGUUUCGGCGGUUGGGGAUGGACUCGCGGCUUAUCAGCUGGUUGGUGGGGUAGUGGCUUACCAAGGCUUUGACGGGUAGCCGGCCUGAGAGGGUGACCGGCCACAUUGGGACUGAGAUACGGCCCAGACUCGUACGGGAGGCAGCAGUGGGGAAUAUUGCACAAUGGGCGGAAGCCUGAUGCAGCAACGCCGCGUGCGGGAUGACGGCCUUCGGGUUGUAAACCGCUUUCGCCUGUGACGAAGCGUGAGUGACGGUAAUGGGUAAAGAAGCACCGGCUAACUACGUG